This 500-nucleotide ribosomal RNA is filed under the name uncultured bacterium. Its description in RNAcentral is "partial 16S ribosomal RNA". It matches the Rfam family "Bacterial small subunit ribosomal RNA", at positions 30 to 523 of the family's 1533-position model. The record is from RNAcentral.
AUUGAACGCUGGCGGCAGGCCUAACACAUGCAAGUCGAGCGGAUGAGAGGAGCUUGCUCUUCGAUUCAGCGGCGGACGGGUGAGUAAUGCCUAGGAAUCUGCCUAGUAGUGGGGGACGACGUUUCGAAAGGAACGCUAAUACCGCAUACGUCCUACGGGAGAAAGUGGGGGAUCUUCGGACCUCACGCUAUUAGAUGAGCCUAGGUCGGAUUAGCUAGUUGGUAGGGUAACGGCCUACCAAGGCGACGAUCCGUAACUGGUCUGAGAGGAUGAUCAGUCACACUGGAACUGAGACACGGUCCAGACUCCUACGGGAGGCAGCAGUGGGGAAUAUUGGACAAUGGGCGAAAGCCUGAUCCAGCCAUGCCGCGUGUGUGAAGAAGGCCCUCGGGUCGUAAAGCACUUUAAGUUGGGAGGAAGGGCUUACAGCGAAUACCUGUGAGUUUUGACGUUACCGACAGAAUAAGCACCGGCUAACUUCGUGCCAGCCGCCGCAGUAA